Long non-coding RNA from Jaculus jaculus (lesser Egyptian jerboa), 1525 nucleotides. RefSeq lists it as uncharacterized. Lineage: Eukaryota; Metazoa; Chordata; Mammalia; Rodentia; Dipodidae. The transcript has 2 exons. The record is from RefSeq and is a predicted model, not a curated record.
GGCACCGCCUCCAGACGUCGUCCUGGUUACGCCGGUCGUGACUCGCACUCUGAUCGCUUUUUUUUUUUUUUUUUUUUUUUGUUUUAGAACCUGAGGAUACAAGAUUGUUCAGUCGAGAUCCCAAGGGAGAAUCAGUCUUGAAAGACAUGCCAGCGGCUCCACCCACCGAGAACGACUACUUCUCCCAACAGCGGAGAACCUCAGCGAGCUUACUCGCCCGCCCCCUCCUCCUGCCAUGUUUCUGUUGAACGCUCCUGGACGCCGGCGGACGCGACUGCGCAUGCGCCACAGUUGCUUUUCUCUGCCCAGCGGGUGCCUACGGCGAACUGUGCCCGCGCGUGCGCGGACCCUCCCUUCCUCCCCCCCCUCCACAACUGGUUGCCUAGUUACAGUUUGCCUCCGCCGCAGGCUUUGCCCUGCGAAGGUGGGGUUUGCCAGAUGUGCAGCCUGCUAGCUGCUCGCUAGCCUGGGAAAGUGGCUGCGGGGUCGGUGCCUGGUCCUGCCUUCCCUGAUCCUCAGUGGCUCGCUCACUCUCUAUCUUACCAUCGCAAGAGUCCUACCGGUGGGUCGCUGCUCAGACCUCGGGCGGAGCGCUGGGCCCGGCCGCCUCGGAGGUCCGCAAGCUGGCCGUCCGCGGUUCCUCCUGCGGGGUGCUGAGCUCGGUGAUCAUCUCCGGAGAAAGCUCUGUGUCUGAUGCUGCAUUGCAUAUCUGAUAUGAGUUGUCUGUCCUCUGGAGACUUGGUCACUCUGGCACUGAAAAGCAGCCCACAAUGUUGUGUGACUGUUCUUCGUGCAUGACAGCCACUACCAUCUUCAACAGAACAGCUGUGACUACCCAUAAGAGACCCUCCACACUGGACCUGUUCACAUUCCUUAUAGAAGAAAGGGCUUGGGAAGGUCACUGGACCCUCACCUGAGAUUCAGCGGCUCCCUUCUGUGCCUCCCUGCCAGCUGUAUGUAAUUCUAUCCCAACAGCGCAUGGUCUUGGGGGUGCUAGAGGAUACAGUGUGUGUGCGUGGGGGGGGGGUUAAUCCAUGGGAGGACUCCACGUACGCAGCUAUGGGAAAGUCGUCCAUGCUGGGGUGAGGUGUUUUUUCAGUGAUGUGGCUACUUUGGAGUCAUCUACACUCCUGAAAUGUCCACUCACCCGUCCCCCUGCCUCCAUCUCCCACACUCCUGAAAGUGUCCACUCCCCCGUUCUCCUCCCUUCUUCUCACAAGAGCCGUGAUCCCAGGGUGUGCCACCAUGCUCAGCUCCAUGCCUUAAUUCUCUGUGCUGCUGGCAGAGAUGCCUGGAGGUCACCUUGAUUUUCUUUUGGAUUCUAAAUCUUGUGCUGUCUGGGAUAGUAGCCAUAUGCACCUGCAGUGUGGCUGGUCCAACUUGAGGUGUGAAACAGAGUUUCAGACACUACCAAAAACAAAAAGAAUGUGACUUCCAAUGAUGAUGACAUUGACUAAUAGUUAAAUGACUAGCUGUGGAUUAAUGGAAUGAGCUGAGAUGUCAUUAAAAUAUAUAAACACCUGUU